Mauremys reevesii (Reeves's turtle) is the source of this 599-nucleotide long non-coding RNA. RefSeq lists it as uncharacterized. The record is from RefSeq and is a predicted model, not a curated record. Lineage: Eukaryota; Metazoa; Chordata; Testudines; Geoemydidae. The transcript has 3 exons.
UGAAAAUAUCAUGGUAGAUAUUCUCUUCCUUCCUCAGGAAAGAGAAACUUUAUGCCUUCAGUUACAGCACAGUCCUGAGUGCCUAUCGCUAUUCACUGAUCAGUCUUGGACAGAGCGAUACUGGAACAGAGCUGUAGUCAGGCUACGGAUGACUAGGACAACCAGCAAGGAAAAACACAGCACAUGGAUCUGAUUCAUACAACGUGUUUUCUCGUGUCACUGUGACAAGUGCCUAGCUGAUCGCUGUACUUGAGCAAGAGCCAUUCACUGACUGGCAGGGUUAGGAAGAUACUCUGUGUGAGCUGAUUAUUUCAUAACCAUCUUCUAUGAAGCUUCUUGUGUUCUCUUGAGGGCCCUGGUACUGGCAACCAUCAGGAGGAUACUGGGUGAGGGGGUCUGAACUGGCAUGGUGGUUCCUAUGUUCUACAUCUCUGAGCACGUGCACACAAUUCAGAUCAUAUGAAUAUGCUCACAACGCUGAAACACUUGGAUCUUGGGCACAUCUCAUCAGUUUCAGGUUUUCAAGAUACCUGAGAAGUGCUUAGACAGUUCAGCUGGAUGUGCUUAACACCUGAUACUAGGAUAAAGGGAUCUUUUAU